RNAcentral lists this ribosomal RNA (982 nucleotides) under human gut metagenome. Its description in RNAcentral is "bacterial LSU rRNA". It matches the Rfam family "Bacterial large subunit ribosomal RNA", at positions 1945 to 2925 of the family's 2925-position model. The record is from RNAcentral.
ACGGUCCUAAGGUAGCGAAAUUCCUUGUCAGGUAAGUUCUGACCCGCACGAAAGGCGUAACGAUUUGGGCGCUGUCUCAGCUGUAGACUCGGUGAAGUCUUAGUACCUGUGAAGAUGCAGGUUACCCGCGACUAGACGGAAAGACCCCAUGGAGCUUCACUGCAGGUUGAUAUUGGGAUUUGAUGCAGCAUGUACAGGAUAGGUAGGAGGCAAAGAGAUGGAUACGCCAGUAUUCAAGGAGCCGCUGUUGGGAUACUACCCCUGUUGUAUUGGAUUUCUAACCGGACGACGUAGAACCGUUGACGGGACAGUGUCAGUCGGGCAGUUUGACUGGGGCGGUCGCCUCCCAAAGAGUAACGGAGGCGCCCAAAGAUACCCUCAGCUUGGAUGGAAACCAAGCGCAGAGUGCAAAGGCAAAAGGGUGUUUGACUGCGAGACCCACAAGUCGAGCAGGGACGAAAGUCGGGCUUAGUGAUCCGGCGGUGCUGAAUGGAAAGGCCGUCGCUCAACGGAUAAAAGCUACCCUGGGGAUAACAGGCUGAUCUCCCCCAAGAGUCCACAUCGACGGGGAGGUUUGGCACCUCGAUGUCGGCUCAUCGCAUCCUGGGGCUGUAUUCGGUCCCAAGGGUUUGGCUGUUCGCCAAUUAAAGCGGUACGCGAGCUGGGUUCAGAACGUCGUGAGACAGUUCGGUCCCUAUCUGUCGUGGGCGCAGGAAAUUUGAGAAGAGCUGUCCUCAGUACGAGAGGACCGGGAUGGACGCAUCAAUGGUGGACCAGUUGUCACGCCAGUGGCAUAGCUGGGUAGCUAAAUGCGGAAGGGAUAAACGCUGAAGGCAUCUAAGUGUGAAACCCACUUCAAGAUGAGAUUUCCCAUUGCGCAAGCAAGUAAGACCCCUUAAAGACGAUAAGGUAGAUAGGUCAGGAGUGUAAGCAUGGUGACAUGUUAAGCGGACUGAUACUAAUAGGUCGAGGGCUUGACCGA